UACAGAGGGUGCAAGCGUUGUUCGGAAUUACUGGGCGUAAAGGGCGCGUAGGCGGCCUUGUAAGUCAGAUGUGAAAGCCCGAGGCUUAACUUCGGAAGUGCAUUUGAAACUACAAGGCUAGAGUUCAGUAGAGGUUGGCGGAAUACCCAGUGGAGAGGUGAAAUUCGUAGAUAUUGGGUGGAACACCGGUGGCGAAGGCGGCCAACUGGGCUGACACUGACGCUGAGGCGCGAGAGCAUGGGUAGCAAACAGG
RNAcentral lists this ribosomal RNA (253 nucleotides) under uncultured bacterium. Its description in RNAcentral is "partial 16S ribosomal RNA". It matches the Rfam family "Bacterial small subunit ribosomal RNA", at positions 524 to 776 of the family's 1533-position model. The record is from RNAcentral.